RNAcentral lists this ribosomal RNA (253 nucleotides) under uncultured bacterium. Its description in RNAcentral is "partial 16S ribosomal RNA". It matches the Rfam family "Bacterial small subunit ribosomal RNA", at positions 524 to 776 of the family's 1533-position model. The record is from RNAcentral.
UACGAAGGGGGCUAGCGUUGCUCGGAAUCACUGGGCGUAAAGGGCGCGUAGGCGGCCAUUCAAGUCGGGGGUGAAAGCCCAGGGCUCAACCCUGGAAUUGCCUUCGAUACUGUUUGGCUAGAGACCGGAAGAGGUAAGUGGAACUGCGAGUGUAGAGGUGAAAUUCGUAGAUAUUCGCAAGAACACCAGUGGCGAAGGCGGCUCACUGGUCCGGUACUGACGCUGAGGUGCGAAAGCGUGGGGAGCAAACAGG